CUUUAAUUCACGAAUCUCAGAAAAAUGCUUCUACCACCACCAUCUGCAUCGCUCCCACCACCAUCAUCAUCUCAAUCGCCGCCACCAUAACCAGCGCCACCACCUCCGCCACUACUAUCAACAGAUCUGUUGCAUUUUAUACGUUUGAUUUCAACUUGUUCUUCAUCUUCUUAGGUUAAAAUUGAUUUCGAAAUCAGAUUCAGAGAUCAGAUUUGUUUUCUUGGUUUUCGAUUUCAUAGUAUCUAGUUGAAGAUUCAAACUAACGAUCACGUUUUCAAUUUAAGAUCUACGAAAUUUACGAUACGGUUUGAAAUCACUUUCUGAAGAUAUAUUGAUGGGAGGAUUAAUACCAAUCGACACGAAGAUUUAAUCAAAAGGAGUUAAUGAGAAAAGAGAUUAGCAGAAACCGUCCUGGUGGUGUUUCUUUCAUGUUUGUGGUGGUAGUUGGUCUCCACUCCUUCAUUCCGACUAAUUGGUUACCUUUCUCCAUUGUUGGUCGUGCUCAGAAAUGGACUCUUAUCGUUACAUCAAUAAGAUGAUAAGUACUGAUGAACUGUGCAGUACAAGUUGUCUAAAGACUAUGGAGCCUGUUCGGAAACACUAUUUUGCUUCGAGUCUAACUAAGCUUCUUUGAUGCUUCGAGUCUAUACAUAAAGAUCAAUGUGAAUAUUGUUAAACGUCCCCUUUCGCACCAUGUGGUUCCAAAUAAUUGUUGGUUCAAUGUAUUUUGAGUCUAAGACUUUGUAUCUGUAAAUAUCAUUUUAAGUGAUAAAUACUAUUUUUCUCUCUUAAUAUGUGUGUUAA
Papaver somniferum (opium poppy) is the source of this 804-nucleotide long non-coding RNA. RefSeq lists it as uncharacterized. The transcript has 3 exons. Lineage: Eukaryota; Viridiplantae; Streptophyta; Magnoliopsida; Ranunculales; Papaveraceae. The record is from RefSeq and is a predicted model, not a curated record.